GACGAACGCUGGCGGCGUGCCUAAUACAUGCAAGUUGAGCGCUGAAGGUUGGUACUUGUACCGACUGGAUGAGCAGCGAACGGGUGAGUAACGCGUGGGGAAUCUGCCUUUGAGCGGGGGACAACAUUUGGAAACGAAUGCUAAUACCGCAUAAAAACUUUAAACACAAGUUUUAAGUUUGAAAGAUGCAAUUGCAUCACUCAAAGAUGAUCCCGCGUUUUAUUAGCUAGUUGGUGAGGUAAAGGCUCACCAAGGCGAUGAUACAUAGCCGACCUGAGAGGGUGAUCGGCCAAAUUGGGAAUGAGACAAGGCCCAAAAUCCUACGGGAGGCAGCAGUAGGGAAUCUUCGGAAAUGGACGAAAGUCUGACCGAGCAACGCCGCGUGAGUGAAGAAGGUUGUCGGAUCGUAAAACUCUGUUGGUAGAGAAGAACGUUGGUGAGAGUGGAAAGCUCAUCAAGUGACGGUAACUACACAGAAAGGGACGGCUAACUACGUG
Molecule: ribosomal RNA, 497 nt
Filed under: uncultured bacterium
Lineage: Bacteria
Description: partial 16S ribosomal RNA
Rfam family: Bacterial small subunit ribosomal RNA
Source: RNAcentral